This is a long non-coding RNA of Felis catus (domestic cat), 1039 nucleotides long. RefSeq lists it as uncharacterized. Lineage: Eukaryota; Metazoa; Chordata; Mammalia; Carnivora; Felidae. The record is from RefSeq and is a predicted model, not a curated record. The transcript is spliced from 5 exons.
ACAGAAGUACCCCCUUACCUGUGGUUUCCCUUUAUGAAGUUUCAGUUACCUGUGGGCAUCCAUCACCCUGAAGCAGGCAUUUUACCAUCUCACAUCAUCACAAGAAGCUGGGUGACUAUGGGACAAUUGGACAUUUUGAGAUGUUUGUUUCUUCAAUGAUUGUUCACUGUCUAUGAGGUCUAAUGUUCAACUCCAUCCCCAGCUUUGUUGUUAUAUGUAUGAAAAGGUAAGGGUAGUAGUGAUAUUCACAUGAAUUUAAUAAAAUGUAACUGACUUGAACAACUAACAUUCACAUUACAACACCUAAGAAUAUUAUGCAGAAAAAAAAGAACAUUAUGCAGUGGAAAAUUGGAGAAAAUAUAAUUUUAUUUCCUGUAUGUCAAGAAAAAUAAAAAAGAUUUCAAGUUGAAAUGCUAUAUAGCCAAACUCUAUGAUUUAAACCAUGUUUUAUAAUAUUGCCUAGAAGUACAACUUUCUUCCAAAAUGCAUAUAUUACCUUGUUCACUGGAUGAAAUUUUAGGUACCUACCCAGAAAGAAUAGAACUGUCAUUACAGUGAAUGGAAUACCAUUUGGCAACUCUACUUAGUGUUACCUUUUCUUAUACUACUUUUUUACCGUGAUGCAUUGUUUCUUCUUCUGUAAUUGUUCAGCAUUUCAGCAUGUAAGUCUGAAUUGUGGGAAAAUGUCAGAGUGUGAAAGUGUGACUGUCUCUGUACAUUAUUAGUCUGCAUCUAUUACACAGAUGUCGAUCAUGCUGUCAUCCCACAGGGGCACGCCAACUGAAAAUUUCCCUCUGCUUCAGUUUUUAUGUAAGAAAAAGUAUGUUAUGCAAAAUGAAGAACUGGCAGUCAAGAGGCUGGCGAUAUGUGAUAUGAUAUUCUCUCAUGAUGCUGGACAGUGGCAUUCAGCCAAAGCUACCAGUCAGCCACACAAUCAUGAGGGGAAACAGCUAAUACACUUACAGUGCCUGCCAGCUCCAGAAGCCCCAGAUGGCACCCUCAGCACCAGGUUCCCCUGGUGGGCUCCUACAGACCCAGG